AGAGUUUGAUCCUGGCUCAGAUUGAACGCUGGCGGUAUGCUUAACACAUGCAAGUCGAACGGAAACGAUGGUAGCUUGCUACCAGGCGUCGAGUGGCGGACGGGUGAGUAACGCGUAGGAAUCUGCCUGAUAGUGGGGGAUAGCCCAGAGAAAUCUGGAUUAAUACCGCAUAAUCCCUAUGGAGUAAAGGAGCCCUCUUCUUGAAAGGUUUCGCUAUCAGAUGAGCCUGCGUAAGAUUAGCUUGUUGGUGAGGUAAAAGCUCACCAAGGCGACGAUCUUUAGCUGGUCUGAGAGGAUGAUCAGCCACACUGGAACUGAGACACGGUCCAGACUCCUACGGGAGGCAGCAGUGGGGAAUAUUGGACAAUGGGCGCAAGCCUGAUCCAGCAAUACCGCGUGUGUGAAGAAGGCCUGAGGGUUGUAAAGCACUUUCAAUUGUGAAGAAAAGCUAAUGGCUAAUACCCAUUAGCCUUGACGUUAACUUUAGAAGAAGCACCGGCUAACUCCGUGCCAGCAGC
Molecule: ribosomal RNA, 518 nt
Filed under: uncultured Gammaproteobacteria bacterium
Lineage: Bacteria; Pseudomonadati; Pseudomonadota; Gammaproteobacteria
Description: bacterial SSU rRNA
Rfam family: Bacterial small subunit ribosomal RNA
Source: RNAcentral